UGGGGAAUUUUGGACAAUGGGCGCAAGCCUGAUCCAGCCAUGCCGCGUGCGGGAAGAAGGCCUUCGGGUUGUAAACCGCUUUUGUCAGGGAAGAAAUCUUCUGAGUUAAUACCUCGGGAGGAUGACGGUACCUGAAGAAUAAGCACCGGCUAACUACGUGCCAGCNCCGCGGUGAAUACGUAGGGUGCAAGCGUUAAUCGGAAUUACUGGGCGUAAAGCGUGCGCAGGCGGUUUUGUAAGACAGAGGUGAAAUCCCCGGGCUCAACCUGGGAACUGCCUUUGUGACUGCAAAGGCUUGAGUGCGGCAGAGGGGGAUGGAAUUCCGCGUGUAGCAGUGAAAUGCGUAGAUAUGCGGAGGAACACCGAUGGCGAAGGCAAUCCCCUGGGCCUGCACUGANCCGCUCAUGCACGAAAAGCGUGGGGAGCAAACAGGNUAGAUACCCUGGUAGUCCACGCCCUAAAACGAUGUCAACUGG
Molecule: ribosomal RNA, 476 nt
Filed under: uncultured bacterium
Lineage: Bacteria
Description: partial 16S ribosomal RNA
Rfam family: Bacterial small subunit ribosomal RNA
Source: RNAcentral